This 253-nucleotide unclassified non-coding RNA is filed under the name plant metagenome. RNAcentral's name for it is "partial contains small subunit ribosomal RNA, internal transcribed spacer 1, and 5.8S ribosomal RNA". The record is from RNAcentral.
UUUCCGUAGGUGAACCUGCGGAAGGAUCAUUACUGAGUUUUGAAUCAAGUUGUUCUGGUCUUACGGGGCAAGUGAACGCUUCUCUCAAUCCAUCUUACACCUGUGCACCUAUCGGGGAAGACUUGGACCUAAGUUGGGUCACGACGCCGAUCUACAGUCUCCUCUUUAUACCAAACAACAGUUUUAGAAAGUCUUUUUUGCUUGAUUCAAACUUAAAUAAAUACAACUUUCAGCAACGGAUCUCUUGGCUCUC